Molecule: non-coding RNA, 228 nt
Organism: Pelobates cultripes (western spadefoot toad)
Lineage: Eukaryota; Metazoa; Chordata; Amphibia; Anura; Pelobatidae
Source: the annotation of a GenBank genome assembly
GUUCACUUUGCAUGAUUGGUUCCAUAAGGAAGAAUUACUCUAAUGCUUCACUAUGAGAAGGAUAAUAUUGGUCCAUCAUGGCAUUUGACUCACAUAUGCACAGCAGUUCUAGACAUUUUGACUGAGACAGGAAAACACCUCACUUACUGUAUAUAAGAGAGAAUUUUAGUUUGUUAGUAUGGCUUUUUGACUAUAUAUAUAUAUAUAAAAUAUAACGGGUGAAUUGUG